This 443-nucleotide ribosomal RNA is filed under the name uncultured bacterium. RNAcentral's name for it is "partial 16S ribosomal RNA". It matches the Rfam family "Bacterial small subunit ribosomal RNA", at positions 338 to 795 of the family's 1533-position model. The record is from RNAcentral.
CCUACGGGUGGCAGCAGUGGGGAAUAUUGGGCAAUGGAGGCAACUCUGACCCAGCAACGCCGCGUGAAUGAUGAAGGUCUUCGGAUUGUAAAGUUCUGUGAUGGGGGAUGAACACAAUGACGGUACCCCAAUAGCAAGCCACGGCUAACUACGUGCCAGCAGCCGCGGUAAUACGUAGGUGGCAAGCGUUAUCCGGAUUUACUGGGUGUAAAGGGAGCGUAGGCGGCGAUGCAAGUCAGAAGUGAAAGCCCGGGGCUCAACUCCGGGACUGCUUUUGAAACUGUGUUGGUAGAUUGCAGGAGAGGUAAGUGGAAUUCCUAGUGUAGCGGUGAAAUGCGUAGAUAGUAGGAGGAACACCAGUGGCGAAGGCGGCUUACUGGACUGUAAAUGACGCUGAGGCUCGAAAGCGUGGGGAGCAAACAGGAUUAGAUACCCUUGUAGUC